GUUGCGGAUUUGUUGGAUGGAGUUUUGCUGUUGGAUUUUGGAUUUUUGCUGGCCCUCACCUCGUUCCACUGACUUCAUGGAUCGUUCCAAGAGGUUUUCCCAAGUCUGGAAUAAUUUUGAUCUUUUGAUGCCAAAUAAGGUGAGUUUUCUGCUCUGCUCCACAGAGCUAUCUUAUGUCAAUAAGAGCACUUCAUCAAUGCUGAGGCAUUAUAGAGCUCGGCAUGGCAUCGAAGAAUUGGCAGAGACUCGUGUGAGUACCCGAGUUCCUAACAAGCAAGCAGUGGAUGAGGCUGUGGUCAACAUGAUCAUCAAAGACUGUUAGCCACUCACCAUUGUUGAAAAUGAGGGAUUCAGGGAGUUCCUGAUGCUUAUCAACUCAGACUUAAAUUUUUAUGCUCACCAUCUUCAUCUGUACCCUGUGAAAUAGUUUUUUCUAAGGCAGGGGAACUGGUGUCUAAGAGGAGAAAACGUCUUUGAGUCAAACACACUCAAUAAAAAUGCAUAAAUGAAUAAAUUUCUUUAUUUCGUAUGAUUGAACACUUAAGUUAACAAAAUUCCAGACAUAAGUUAAACAUUUUAACAAUUUUAUUAUAGACAAAUUUGCUAUAUUUUACAUAACUCAUUUGAGCAUUUCCACAAACAAGGUUUUAA
Long non-coding RNA from Phycodurus eques (leafy seadragon), 651 nucleotides. RefSeq lists it as uncharacterized. Lineage: Eukaryota; Metazoa; Chordata; Actinopteri; Syngnathiformes; Syngnathidae. The transcript has 3 exons. The record is from RefSeq and is a predicted model, not a curated record.